AUUGAACGCUGGCGGCAGGCCUAACACAUGCAAGUCGAGCGGAUGAAGGGAGCUUGCUCCUGGAUUCAGCGGCGGACGGGUGAGUAAUGCCUAGGAAUCUGCCUGGUAGUGGGGGAUAACGUCCGGAAACGGGCGCUAAUACCGCAUACGUCCUGAGGGAGAAAGUGGGGGAUCUUCGGACCUCACGCUAUCAGAUGAGCCUAGGUCGGAUUAGCUAGUUGGUGGGGUAAAGGCCUACCAAGGCGACGAUCCGUAACUGGUCUGAGAGGAUGAUCAGUCACACUGGAACUGGGACACGGUCCAGGCUCCUACGGGAGGCCGCAGUGGGGAAUAUUGGACAAUGGGCGAAAGCCUGAUCCAGCCAUGCCGCGUGUGUGAAGAAGGUCUUCGGAUUGUAAAGCACUUUAAGUUGGGAGGAAGGGCAGUAAGUUAAUACCUUGCUGUUUUGACGUUACCAACAGAAUAAGCACCGGCUAACUUCGUG
This 484-nucleotide ribosomal RNA is filed under the name uncultured bacterium. RNAcentral describes it as "partial 16S ribosomal RNA". It matches the Rfam family "Bacterial small subunit ribosomal RNA", at positions 30 to 507 of the family's 1533-position model. The record is from RNAcentral.